CUGUUGUUGAAUGGACCAAAAGAGAAACAAAUCUUUCCUACUGAUGAGUCAACAGGGUCAACAGAAGGUAGGCUCUGAGGGUCAGGUCUUUCCUACUGAUGAGUCAACAGGGUCAAUAGAAGGUAGGCUCUGAGGGUCAGGUCUUUCCUACUGAUGAGUCAACAGGGUCAACAGAAGGUAGGCUCUGAGGGUCAGGUCUUUCCUACUGAUGAGUCAACAGGGUCAAUAGAAGGUAGGCUCUGAGGGUCAGGUCUUUCCUACUGAUGAGUCAACAGGGUCAAUAGAAGGUAGGCUCUGAGGGUCAGGUCUUUCCUACUGAUGAGUCAACAGGGUCAAUAGAAGGUAGGCUCUGAGGGUCAGGUCUUUCCUACUGAUGAGUCAACAGGGUCAAUAGAAGGUAGGCUCUGAGGGUCAGGUCUUUCCUACUGAUGAGUCAACAGGGUCAAUAGAAGGUAGGCUCUGAGGGUCAGGUCUUUCCUACUGAUGAGUCAACAGGGUCAAUAGAAGGUAGGCUCUGAGGGUCAGGUCUUUCCUACUGAUGAGUCAACAGGGUCAAUAGAAGGUAGGCUCUGAGGGUCAGGUCUUUCCUACUGAUGAGUCAACAGGGUCAACAGAAGGUAGGCUCUGAGGGUCUUGACAUGUUCCUGAAUAACAUAGCAACACCUGAAGGAAUGGCAUCUAAAACAAUUGCAACAUCUUUAGGUGUUACAGGGACCUUGUAAAGUGAUAAGAAUUCCUUAUAACUGAGUGAAAGACCCUUUGAAUUUACCAGUUGGCUCACCAAUAGGAUAUUAUUUCCGAACCAAUAUUCUAAAAACAGAGAGGUAUUUUUAUACAAUAUAUCCCGAUUAUUCCAUAUAUAAUAUCUGUGUGGAGAAAAAGUGUGUUUAUAAAUUAAGGACCAUGACAAGAAAGCCUGCCGAUGAAAAGCAGAAAAUUUCACUGGAACUUUGUCAAUAUUAUAAUUGCAAAACAACAUGGAGUUAAGGCCACCAAAAGUAGAGA
Long non-coding RNA from Oncorhynchus keta (chum salmon), 1005 nucleotides. RefSeq lists it as uncharacterized. Lineage: Eukaryota; Metazoa; Chordata; Actinopteri; Salmoniformes; Salmonidae. The transcript is spliced from 3 exons. The record is from RefSeq and is a predicted model, not a curated record.